CCCCCUGGCAAUGGGCAAAGAGACACCUUGCUGAUGUUGCUCUUCUAUCAGUCAAAGGCAGAGCAGAUGGCAGUCCUUUGUUCAUCCUAGCUUGAUGCCUGGCAUGGUGACCAAAGUUGUCUUAUGCCUAGAACACAUAG
Acomys russatus (golden spiny mouse) is the source of this 140-nucleotide small nucleolar RNA. RefSeq annotates it as small nucleolar RNA SNORA48. NCBI's taxonomy places the organism in Eukaryota, Metazoa, Chordata, Mammalia, Rodentia, Muridae. The transcript has a single exon. The record is from RefSeq and is a predicted model, not a curated record.